CCAUAACACCGGGAUAACUUUCGGAAACGAGUGCUAACACCGGAUACGCAAGAGGGUGGCAUCAUCCUCUUGGGAAACACGGUGCAAUCUGUGGCUUAUGGAUGGGCCUGCGGCGCUUUAUCUAUUUGGUGGGGUAACGGCCUACCAGGGCGACUAUGCGUACCCCACCUGAGAGGGUGAACGGCCACUCUGGGACUGACACACGGCCCACACUCCUACGGGAGGCAGCAAUAGGGAAUCUUCCACAGUGGGCGCAACCCUGAUGGAGCAACGCCGCGUGAGUGAAGAAGGCUUUCGGGUCAUAAAGCUCUGUUGCCGGGGAAAAAUAAGGGAGAUUUAUGUGCUCGUCCUAUGACGGUACCUGAAAAAAAAGCCCCGGCUAACUACGUGCCAGCCGCCGCGGUAAUACGUAGGGGGCACGCGUUGUCCGGAAUUAUUGGGCGUAAAGCGCGCGCACGCGUUUUCUUAUCUCUGGUGUCUAUGUGCGGCUCUCAACCCCGAGAUGCUGUGGACACUGAGACACUCGUGUGCAGAAGAGGAUAGCAGAACUCCACGUGUAGCCGUGAUUUGCAUACAGAUGUGGAAGACCCCCUGUGGCGAGGGGGGCUCUUCUAGA
This 616-nucleotide ribosomal RNA is filed under the name uncultured Cohnella sp. Its description in RNAcentral is "bacterial SSU rRNA". It matches the Rfam family "Bacterial small subunit ribosomal RNA", at positions 130 to 733 of the family's 1533-position model. The record is from RNAcentral. Lineage: Bacteria; Bacillati; Bacillota; Bacilli; Caryophanales; Paenibacillaceae.